Molecule: microRNA precursor, 101 nt
Filed under: Haemonchus contortus (barber pole worm)
Lineage: Eukaryota; Metazoa; Nematoda; Chromadorea; Rhabditida; Trichostrongylidae
Description: microRNA hco-mir-40d precursor
Gene: hco-mir-40d
Source: miRBase by way of RNAcentral
GUACGCUACUGUAUCUGGCGUUCGUUGUAGGACCCCCUGUGAGGCUUUAUGGGACUUCACCGGGUAUCUUGCAGCGGGUGCUUGGACAGACAGUAUGGCUC